Molecule: ribosomal RNA, 253 nt
Filed under: uncultured bacterium
Lineage: Bacteria
Description: partial 16S ribosomal RNA
Rfam family: Bacterial small subunit ribosomal RNA
Source: RNAcentral
UACGGAGGGGGCUAGCGUUGUUCGGAAUUACUGGGCGUAAAGCGCGCGUAGGCGGCUUUGUAAGUUAGAGGUGAAAGCCCAGGGCUUAACCCUGGAAUUGCCUUUAAGACUGCAUCGCUAGAAUCGUGGAGAGGUGAGUGGAAUUCCGGGUGGAGUGGUGAAAUGCGUAGAGAUCCGGAGGAACACCAAAGGCGAAGGCAGUGUCCUGGGGAGUACCUGACGCUCAGGUGCGAAAGCCAGGGGAGCGAACGGG